Molecule: ribosomal RNA, 253 nt
Filed under: uncultured bacterium
Lineage: Bacteria
Description: partial 16S ribosomal RNA
Rfam family: Bacterial small subunit ribosomal RNA
Source: RNAcentral
UACGAAGGGGGCUAGCGUUGUUCGGAAUUACUGGGCGUAAAGCGUGCGCAGGCGGAUUCUUAAGUCAGGGGUGAAAUCCCGAGGCUCAACCUCGGAACUGCCUUUGAUACUGGGGAUCUUGAGUCCGGAAGAGGUGAGUGGAACUGCGAGUGUAGAGGUGAAAUUCGUAGAUAUUCGCAAGAACACCAGUGGCGAAGGCGGCUCACUGGCCCGAUACUGACGCUGAGGCACGAAAGCGUGGGGAGCAAACAGG